Pomacea canaliculata is the source of this 643-nucleotide long non-coding RNA. RefSeq lists it as uncharacterized. The record is from RefSeq and is a predicted model, not a curated record. Lineage: Eukaryota; Metazoa; Mollusca; Gastropoda; Architaenioglossa; Ampullariidae. The transcript has 4 exons.
AGAACCGAAAAAUGAAGUUACGGAGUUGGGCCAAGUGGCGGCGGAAUGACCGUGGAGCUCGAGGACGGCUGGAACUUUGCCCCUGCUUUCCAAAAGUCCAACUACCCCGAGGCGCUGGCAAGAAAACCAGACUCUCAGCAACCACGGUCCGGGUGGGCACAGUAAACAGUUUGCUACCACAACACCCAGGAUGUGGGAGCGUUUCCUGUCCUGCGCUGGGCACAGACCGGGGGUCACGGUUACGCUCACUGACUCACUCAUUCAUCUUUGAAGAAUGGCUCCACUACUGGUAUCCUUUCAGGAAGAAACGCUUCUGGCAGAGUGGCAUCGGGGCUGGCUCCUUUGCAUCAAUCACCAUCUUUUGUAUUUAACCAUGAAAAUAUUCUAUAUCCUUUGCGCUUGCGCAGUUGUGUCCGCCGCCCUAAACCCCGGUGUUACCAAAGAACAGCUGCACGACUGUUGCAAUCAGUCCAAUCUUCAUAACUGCUGACGUCGAGACAGUCCGGAUUUCUCCUCCCAUUAAAAGUUUCUUCCCAAGUUUCUAAAGACUCAAAGUGCUACUCGUAGUUCCUUUUUCUUUAAAUUCAGAACUUCUGAAUGUUUCAAUUAAUUCAAGUUCCAACACAGAGAAAAUAGUAAAGAA